UGCGGGGUGGAGCAGUGGUCGCUCACCGGGCUCAUGAUCCCGACCGCGCCGGUUCGAUUCCGGCCCCGCAA
RNAcentral lists this transfer RNA (71 nucleotides) under Gemmata massiliana. It matches the Rfam family "tRNA". Rfam says of the family: Transfer RNA (tRNA) molecules are approximately 80 nucleotides in length. Their secondary structure includes four short double-helical elements and three loops (D, anti-codon, and T loops). Further hydrogen bonds mediate the characteristic L-shaped molecular structure. tRNAs have two regions of fundamental functional importance: the anti-codon, which is responsible for specific mRNA codon recognition, and the 3' end, to which the tRNAs corresponding amino acid is attached (by aminoacyl-tRNA synthetases). tRNAs cope with the degeneracy of the genetic code in two manners: having more than one tRNA (with a specific anti-codon) for a particular amino acid; and 'wobble' base-pairing, i.e. permitting non-standard base-pairing at the 3rd anti-codon position. Lineage: Bacteria; Pseudomonadati; Planctomycetota; Planctomycetia; Gemmatales; Gemmataceae. The record is from RNAcentral.